Acanthopagrus latus (yellowfin seabream) is the source of this 1354-nucleotide long non-coding RNA. RefSeq lists it as uncharacterized. Lineage: Eukaryota; Metazoa; Chordata; Actinopteri; Spariformes; Sparidae. The record is from RefSeq and is a predicted model, not a curated record. The transcript is spliced from 4 exons.
GUGCUGGCCACUGAGAUAUGCAUCAUACUAUCCAUUGAACAUGAGUGGGGGUAUCCGGGCUCCCUACGGCGCCCCUGAAGGCCCAAACAAGACGUGUGAUACCACUGAAAAAGAAGAGUGGAUAAAAUAUUCACAGAAGCAUACGGAAUUACCAAAAAGACAAAGGAGUUCCAGGCUGGUUUAUUAAGCUUCUGUCAACACAUUGGAUCAUCCAACCAUUUUUGGAACUGGUACACACAGCCAAACCAAAUCCUCAGUUUACCAUUCUGUGCUUGCACUCCAGUCAGAGGGACAUGAAGCGGGGCGGCCACCUGGUCCAUUAAUCAGCCUCGGCCGGUGCUGACAGCAGAGCUCACAGAGUGUUGCCCUUCCGCCCCGCUUGCAUUAGCGAGACCUGUAAAUCCUUCUUGGAGAGGAGAGGAGAGGAGAGGAGAGGAGAGGAGAGGAGAGGACUUUUUUUCAUUUUAAUGGCUCUAUCAAAAGAAAUGGCUUGAUUGGCAACAAGUUAAUGGAGCUAACAUGGGAAGGAAUAUGGGACUGGAAGCUAAAAUAUGUUUAAUAAGGGUAACUCACCCAAUUUCACACACUCAAGUGUGUUUAUAGGUCUUGAGGAGGAUUAAUACUACAUGUGUGAAAAAGUAGUGUUUGUUUGUGGCUGCAGAGGAAGCUGCAUGGAAUCAGGUGAAUUUCCUCCAGUGAUAUCAGUCAGUGGCUCUGUUGGAUUGUGGGUAAUGUAGGCGCCAUGUUUUCAAAAAGAAGAAUAUGUUUAAUAAGAAAAUUUAAGAAAACACCUCUGGUUCUGCUUUGUUGAUUCAGAUGCGUUUUAAAAGUUUCCACAAAGAGUCCGACAGUGUUAAGGGAGUGCAGUGCCAGACCAGUAGACUGCUUCUCAAAAACCUGUUGCCUACAUUACCCACAAUGCAACUGUUGGACAUUUCUAUUACUUGUGGCUUUCUCCCGAGCCACAAUAGGCUUUAUACAAAUUGAAAUAGGUGGCGUUACCCCUUAAGAAAUACGACAACAUGCAGUUGUUCUGUGACUUAAAAUGUAAAUUUGGGGAAUUUUGGUUGAAGAAAAACAAAUUUCCGAACUUCUAAAUUUCUGACCUUGAUUAACGCAGACCACUUUCAUGUUUCAUCUCUUUUUGAGCCUUUUUAUGUUCUUCUAGAUCCACAAAACUUGCUUUUUCAUCCUUGUGUUCUUCUAAUAUAUCGUAGCCUGCAUUCAUUACUUUCAUAGCAGUAGCCUUUUAGCUUGACCUUGUAUGCAGGACACAGUGGGAGUGCACUGAAAGAGCUGUAUUGUGUGCUGAAUUCUGGUUAACAUAAAUUUACUUGAUUAAAUCAAGCUUUCA